RNAcentral lists this antisense RNA (131 nucleotides) under Vibrio rotiferianus. Its description in RNAcentral is "VrrA". It matches the Rfam family "Vibrio regulatory RNA of OmpA". The record is from RNAcentral. Lineage: Bacteria; Pseudomonadati; Pseudomonadota; Gammaproteobacteria; Vibrionales; Vibrionaceae.
GUAACAACUAGGGCAUUUUAAGUUUUUCUGGCCGUCAAACUUGUUUCUUUCUAGUUGCUACGUUGCUGCUUUUUCUUAUUAACUCCUAUGUUUGUAUCCGCCCAAGCGCUUUUUAGCUUGGGCUUUUUUUC